This 375-nucleotide ribosomal RNA is filed under the name uncultured organism. Its description in RNAcentral is "partial 16S ribosomal RNA". It matches the Rfam family "Bacterial small subunit ribosomal RNA", at positions 527 to 896 of the family's 1533-position model. The record is from RNAcentral.
GUAGGGUCCGAGCGUUUAUCCGGAAUCAUUGGGCGUAAAGAGCUCGUAGGCGGUUCAGCAAGUCGGCUGUGAAAGUUCGAGGCUCAACCUCGAAAUUGCAGUCGAUACUGCUGUGACUCGAGUCCGGUAGAGGAGAAUGGAAUUCCCGGUGUAGCGGUGAAAUGCGCAGAUAUCGGGAGGAACACCAGUAGCGAAGGCGGUUCUCUGGGCCGGCACUGACGCUGAGGAGCGAAAGCGUGGGGGAGCAAACAGGAUUAGAUACCCUGGUAGUCCACGCCGUAAACGUUGGAUGCUAGGUGUGGCGGUCUACCAACGACUGCCGUGCCGAAGCUAACGCAUUAAGCAUCCCCGCCUGGGAGUACGGCCGCAAGGCUA